Molecule: long non-coding RNA, 364 nt
Organism: Lolium perenne
Lineage: Eukaryota; Viridiplantae; Streptophyta; Magnoliopsida; Poales; Poaceae
Source: RefSeq, a predicted model, not a curated record
CGCAAAACUUAACUCAUUUCUUCUUUUUCUUGAACAGGUCACCGCUGACACUCGGAAGGCCCUUUUCGAGGAGCUUUUGUGGGAGCACCGGGAGCUCGCUGAGGCACAUGACAAGUGCCAAGUGAUCCCGGAAGCUUCCAUCGAUGCUCUGAAAGAGCAGCUCGCCGAGGCCCAACGGGAAAAGGACGAGCUCAACCGGCAGCACCAGGAUGAGCUGAACGCCCUCAAGACCAGCUACCAGGAUCUCAAGUCUCAGCUGAUUCAGCUGGGGCUCGAUCACGCCAAGGCCCUCAAAGCCGCUGAAGUGAGCGCAGCGGCCAAGUUGGACGAGGCUCUGGAGGAUGCUUCCAAUGCCACUGUGGUG